Molecule: ribosomal RNA, 508 nt
Filed under: uncultured bacterium
Lineage: Bacteria
Description: partial 16S ribosomal RNA
Rfam family: Bacterial small subunit ribosomal RNA
Source: RNAcentral
AUUGAACGCUGGCGGCAUGCCUUACACAUGCAAGUCGAACGGCAGCGGGGGAGAAGCUUGCUUUUCCUGCCGGCGAGUGGCGAACGGGUGAGUAAUACAUCGGAACGUGCCCUGUAGUGGGGGAUAACUAGUCGAAAGAUUAGCUAAUACCGCAUACGACCUGAGGGUGAAAGUGGGGGACCGCAAGGCCUCAUGCUAUAGGAGCGGCCGAUGUCUGAUUAGCUAGUUGGUGGGGUAAAGGCCUACCAAGGCGACGAUCAGUAGCUGGUCUGAGAGGACGAGCAGCCAAACGUGGACUGAGACACGGCCCAGACUCCUACGGGAGGCAGCAGUGGGGAAUUUUGGACAAUGGGCGGAAGCCUGAUCCAGCAAUGCCGCGUGUGUGAAGAAGGCCUUCGGGUUGUAAAGCACUUUUGUCCGGAAAGAAAUGGCUCUGGUUAAUACCUGGGGUCGAUGACGGUACCGGAAGAAUAAGGACCGGCUAACUACGUGCCAGCAGCCGCCGUAA